Formica exsecta is the source of this 1135-nucleotide long non-coding RNA. RefSeq lists it as uncharacterized. The record is from RefSeq and is a predicted model, not a curated record. The transcript is spliced from 2 exons. Lineage: Eukaryota; Metazoa; Arthropoda; Insecta; Hymenoptera; Formicidae.
AGAAGUCAAGUAAAACACUCGCGAGAGAAAGAGAGAGAGAGAGAGAGAGGGAGAGAGAGAUCCGGUACAUACGAAGUCCGGUCGAUCAUUACGUAACCGGACAUAUGGCAAGUGCAACACUAAAUUUAGCCGGGCGAUGCACGCGGCCCCGCGUACGUAUCAACGCGCACGGAGCAGCCGAUUACGCGACAUGGGGCAAAGGGUGCAGCCUCAUCGACGUGCUUGUGUAACGACAACUACCCACGUUCUCGAUGCAUACUGCAUCGGCAAAACGUUUCGUAUACAAGGUUAAAAUGACCUAUGUAUUCUUGUAGUAAUUUGCGGAUUUCUUCGCGAAAAAUCUCUUGAAAAUAUGUUUUUUUUUUUUUUAAUUAUAAUUAGCGGAAAAUAUAUAUAAAACGCUUUUUCAAAACUGAGCUUUGAAGGAAAGUGCAACGUCGUUAAAAAUGUAUGUAUGUUUUUUUUUAAUCGAAAAAUGAAGAGUUUUAUUUACAAGCAAACAAGAACUUACGAUAUAGUCUCUCACGAUGGAAAAUAAUGCAAUUAUUAUCAUGAAUAAAUUUAAUUAAUUUAAAAAAAAAACUGGGUUUUUUUGAUGCAUUUAAUAAAAUUUUAAAAAUGGCCUUUCUUUUCUUGAUUUAAUAAACAAUGCAAUCUUGUUUGCCAUUUAAAUUUAAAUUUACGAAGAGAUUCACAUUCCAAAAAAAUUUUAAUUUUUAAUUAUAUAUAUGAAAUAUUUAGCAUUAACAAUAAAUCAAAUAAAUUAUAAAUGCAACGCACAGUGUAUUAAAAGUUACAUAUGUAUAUUACGACUUAUUAUGAUAAUUAUACUUGUUUUAUUAUCAUAUAUCUUUACAUGACAUAGUAAUUACGAAAUAACUCACUAAAGAUUCAAAAUUAUAGGGUGGUAAAUGAGAGCUCCGAUAGAGUUAUUUAUAACUCAAAUAGUAUUACAAAAAAUUUACAUCUCUUUAUGGUAAAUUGUAUCUAAUUUUGCAUACAAACAAGAUAUCACGUUCAUAUGCAUAACUUAUAAUCAAUUGCGUUCAAUUAUACAUUUAUUUAACACAGCAUAUUUAACUAUAGUUAAAUGUAUUUGUGUGAAGAUUUUUAUUUUGCGAAAUUACGCGUCUCA